Molecule: long non-coding RNA, 396 nt
Organism: Taeniopygia guttata (zebra finch)
Lineage: Eukaryota; Metazoa; Chordata; Aves; Passeriformes; Estrildidae
Source: RefSeq, a predicted model, not a curated record
GGACUUCGGGAACGCGACGGUGGUCAUAAAGAGAGGAGUCUUCCACCGGGCGAGAGUCUCUCAAGCGGCUUUAUUCUGAGGGCUUAGAAAUUACCAGAGAACCUCAAGUCAAAUAUGAUGUUUUCUGGGGAGAAGGAAAAGACAUUGAAGAAAUAUUUUAUAAGCAGCAGCAAUGAAUUGGCUGUCAGUACAUGUUCCAGUGAGAGACUGGGUUUUCUCCAUGUCGCUGACUUUGACCCCAACUUGUCGCCAAAUUCAAAGGUGAAAAUGUUGUCAGCAGAUGUAGUGUAGAUUCACCUGGGCAGCAACACUGGAUCUGUUGGGAAAGGGAAGGAAGAAAUAUUAAAAAACUCAAUAUGUCAUCUAGGUUUUUUAUUAAAUCUCUCAUUUACAACA